GCUCUCUCUCUCUCUCCAACAGCCCACACAUCAUCUCCCUAUCCCUCCUACGUAGGGUUCUGGUAAACCCCUUACCUAGGGUUUUCUCAUUCUAGCUCACGCAUUGCAGAGUGAGAUGGUAACUGACCAUGAGAUAGUCUGGCCUUCGAUGGUUAUUAGAAGUACAAUACUCGAGCAAGAUGAAAAUAAAAAAGGGAGCUACUUGCGUAAAUUGGGGCUGCUAGCUACACACGGGUAUUCGGAUCAAGGAUAGGACCACGAUAACUCAGGUAAUGAUUCUCUUCCCCUUGGGCUUUCCA
Magnolia sinica is the source of this 299-nucleotide long non-coding RNA. RefSeq lists it as uncharacterized. NCBI's taxonomy places the organism in Eukaryota, Viridiplantae, Streptophyta, Magnoliopsida, Magnoliales, Magnoliaceae. The record is from RefSeq and is a predicted model, not a curated record. The transcript has 3 exons.